RNAcentral lists this unclassified non-coding RNA (172 nucleotides) under uncultured Microbotryomycetes. RNAcentral describes it as "sequence contains ITS1". Lineage: Eukaryota; Fungi; Basidiomycota; Microbotryomycetes. The record is from RNAcentral.
GUGAAUUAUAGGGCGUCGUUCACUUCGGUGACGAGCCUGACCUCCACUUUCUAACUCUGUGCAUUUUAUUGGUGAGCAACGAACGAACCCGUCCUCGGACGUGGCGAGCGAAGUGCUUACGGCUCAUUUUAAACACCAGUCAAAGUAUGUAACGAAAUAUCGAAACAAAAAA